GGCAAACUCCCUUUACCCUCACCCACUGCAACUUUUUUUCUAUCACCACCACUUAAUCCCACAACAUCCUCAAUAUAAGUUGAGGUCACAUUAUAGUUUGUGGAAUCUUGGAUACUCAAAACAGUUCCAUUCCCUGAUUCUUGAACAAGAAAGCUUUCAUUUUUUACCUUUUCAGAGACAUGGGGAUUUCCUAAAAUUUCCCCAAAAUUGGAAAAUAUCCCACUUUCAUCAAUUUUAUUGGUACUAAAGUUUCCACUGUGUGAAGCUUUGGAACUCAAACUAACACUAGCAUUAGAGAAAGCGAAAGGCCA
RNAcentral lists this unclassified non-coding RNA (311 nucleotides) under Hevea brasiliensis (rubber tree). Lineage: Eukaryota; Viridiplantae; Streptophyta; Magnoliopsida; Malpighiales; Euphorbiaceae. The record is from RNAcentral.